CCUUUAGAUGUUCUGGGCCGCACGCGCGCUACACUGAUGCAUUCAACGAGCCUAUCCUUGACCGACAGGUCCGGGUAAUCUUUGAAUCUGCAUCGUGACGGGGAUAGAUUAUUGCAAUUAUUAAUCUUCAACGAGGAAUGCCUAGUAGGCGCAAGUCAUCAGCUUGCGUCGAUUACGUCCCUGCCCUUUGUACACACCGCCCGUCGCUCCUACCGAUUGGGUGUGCUGGUGAAAUGUUCGGAUCGGCCGUUUGUCGCGGUUUCCGCGGCUCGUGGCUGAGAAGUUCAUUAAACCCUCCCACCUAGAGGAAGGAGAAGUCGUAACA
This 325-nucleotide ribosomal RNA is filed under the name uncultured eukaryote. RNAcentral's name for it is "partial 18S ribosomal RNA". It matches the Rfam family "Eukaryotic small subunit ribosomal RNA", at positions 1470 to 1796 of the family's 1831-position model. The record is from RNAcentral.